UGAAGACAGCAGCAGAAACCACCCACGGCAGCGAGGAGGGGAGUCGAGGUCUUAAACCGCAAAGGGAGCUUUGAUGAUAUAUGAAAACAUCUCAAGGCACACAGCAGACAUGCAUUGGGAGCCCCUGAGAGGUGGAUGUACGAGUGUGUGCAUUUGUGUGGACGCCAGGAGUUUACACUGAUUAUGGUUCUCAGUCAUUCUUCAUGUUAUUUCUGGACUGGUUGGCCAAUGAGAAAUUGAGGUCCAGAAAGACUAAGUGUUUUACCCAUGAUUCACAGCAACUUAAUUUCUGCACAAAGUAGAAUUUGGGAAAUUAUGGCCAAGAAAAUCAGAACCAUAGCUACCUGGUGUUGAAGGGUAGCAGUGACUCCCUAAGUCAGAACCCUGAUGAACCUGGAGUAGGCUUGGAUCAUGGCAGCAGGAAUUCCAGGAGAAGCCAAGAGACAGCAACUCUGUGUUAUAGUCCUGGGUACAGAAGAAGCCCCAGAUUGGAACCAAGGGUUGUUGUGACAAAGAUUGCAAGCUAAGAAUGGAGUCAGCCACAGAGCCAGACAAUGAGGCAAGAUCGCCGCAGCAUGCUGAAGGCAGAGAAAAACAAACCACAGAAGAUAAGCCAGUGCCUUCUUGUUUAAUUGACAUAUUUUUCACCUCCUGCAGCUUUUACUGCAGUUUUAGACCGUCUUC
Molecule: non-coding RNA, 684 nt
Organism: Peromyscus maniculatus bairdii (prairie deer mouse)
Lineage: Eukaryota; Metazoa; Chordata; Mammalia; Rodentia; Cricetidae
Source: RefSeq, a predicted model, not a curated record